CCUACGGGAGACAGCAGUGAGGAAUAUUGGUCAAUGGGCGGAAGCCUGAACCAGCCAAGUCGCGUGAGGGAUUAAGGCCCUGCGGGUCGUAAACCUCUUUUGCCGGGGAGCAAUGGUCCGGACGUGUCCGGGCCGGGAGAGUACCCGGAGAAAAAGCAUCGGCUAACUCCGUGUCAGCAGCCGCGGUAAUACGGAGGAUGCGAGCGUUAUCCGGAUUUAUUGGGUUUAAAGGGUGCGUAGGCGGGCUUUUAAGCCGGCGGUCAAAUGUCGGGGCUCAACCCCGGCCUGCCGUUGGAACUGGGGGCCUUGAGUGGGCGAGAAGAAUGCGGAAUGCGUGGUGUAGCGGUGAAAUGCAUAGAUAUCACGCAGAACCCCGAUUGCGAAGGCAGCCUUCCGGCGCCCUACUGACGCUGAGGCACGAAAGUGCGGGUAUCGAACAGGAUUAGAUACCCCAGUAGUC
This 460-nucleotide ribosomal RNA is filed under the name uncultured bacterium. Its description in RNAcentral is "partial 16S ribosomal RNA". It matches the Rfam family "Bacterial small subunit ribosomal RNA", at positions 338 to 795 of the family's 1533-position model. The record is from RNAcentral.